GGGGAUUUAGCUCAGUGGUUCUAGCACCUGCCUUGCAAGCACAAGGUCCUGAGUUCGAUCCCCAGAACCA
This is a non-coding RNA of Heterocephalus glaber (naked mole-rat), 70 nucleotides long. The record is from Rfam. NCBI's taxonomy places the organism in Eukaryota, Metazoa, Chordata, Mammalia, Rodentia, Bathyergidae.